RNAcentral lists this ribosomal RNA (743 nucleotides) under uncultured bacterium. RNAcentral's name for it is "bacterial SSU rRNA". It matches the Rfam family "Bacterial small subunit ribosomal RNA", at positions 28 to 767 of the family's 1533-position model. The record is from RNAcentral.
AUUGAACGCUGGCGGCGUGCCUAACACAUGCAAGUCGAGCGGCAGCGCGGGGCAACCCUGGCGGCGAGCGGCGGACGGGUGAGCAAUGUUUGGGAAUCUGCCUAUUAGUGGGGGACAACCCGGGGAAACUCGGGCUAAUACCGCAUACGCACUACGGUGGAAAGCCGGGGACCGCAAGGCCUGGCGCUAAUAGAUGAGCCCAAAUCGGAUUAGCUAGUUGGUGAGGUAAUGGCUCACCAAGGCGACGAUCCGUAGCUGGUCUGAGAGGACGACCAGCCACACCGGAACUGAGACACGGUCCGGACUCCUACGGGAGGCAGCAGUGGGGAAUAUUGGACAAUGGGCGAAAGCCUGAUCCAGCGACGCCGCGUGGGUGAAGAAGGCCUGCGGGUUGUAAAGCCCUCUCGGUGGGGAAGAAAAGCCUCGACCUAACACGUCGGGGUCUUGACGUAACCCAUAGAAGAAGCACCGGCUAACUCUGUGCCAGCAGCCGCGGUAAUACAGAGGGUGCGAGCGUUAAUCGGAAUUACUGGGCGUAAAGCGCGCGUAGGCGGCUUUGCAAGUCGGGUGUGAAAUCCCCAGGCUAACUGGGAACUGCAUUCGAGACUGCAUUGCUAGAGUAUGGGAGAGGGAAGUGGAAUUUCCGGUGUAGCGGUGAAAAUGCGUAGAUAUCGGAAGGAACAUCAGUGGCGAAAGCGACUUCCUGGACCAAUACUGACGCUCAUGUGCGAAAAGCGUGGGGG